RNAcentral lists this ribosomal RNA (1427 nucleotides) under freshwater metagenome. Its description in RNAcentral is "bacterial LSU rRNA". It matches the Rfam family "Archaeal large subunit ribosomal RNA", at positions 1465 to 2886 of the family's 2987-position model. The record is from RNAcentral.
GAGUUAGUCGGUCCUAAGAAUAAUCUCAACAGAAUUAUUCGAAAGGGAAACUGGUUAAUAUUCCAGUACCCGACAGUAGCGUUAUCAUCUAUUUGAUCGCUUUAAGAUAGGGCAAGUACAACCGUCGUUGUAUCUAACUUUUCUAGAAUUGGGGAGUGUCGUAAUGACGAGAACCAAUUCGAGUUGGGAAUGGCUUGGCGUUAGCUGAGUUUGUCUGAGUCUUGGGGACCGUGAAAAAUCAUGUAGAGAGCAAUCUGUCGUGUCCGUACCGAGAACCGACACAGGUGCACUGGAUGAGUAGUCCAAGAAGUAUCGGGUAUACCGUAGGCGAGGGAACUCGACAAAUUAGUCCUGUACCUUCGGUAUAAGGGAUGCCUGCAAUCCUAAUGAGAAAUUGGGAUAGCAGGUUGCAAUGACAAGGGGGUUCCGACUGUUUAAUAAAAACACAGGUGACUGCUAGUCCGAAAGGAUGUGUAUAGUCACUGAAUCCUGGCCGGUGCUGGUACCUAAAACUUGGGUUCAACCGAGCUAAGGGCCAGUUAACGCCGGGAGUAACUCUGACUCUCUUAAGGUAGCCAAAUGCCUUGUCGGGUAAGUUCCGACGUGCAUGAAUGGAACAACGAGAGCCCCACUGUCCCCGCCUACAACCCGGUGAAGCUACAUAAGGUGGACGAACAGUCCAUCAUCUUCCAUCGGGGAGAGAAGACCCCGUGGAGUUUUACUGCAGCUUGUGCUUGCGGUAUAGUUGACAUUGCAUAGUGUAUCUGGUAGCCAUGCUUAACGUCCUCCGGGAUGUUAAGAAGCGUCGUUGUAACACCAGACCUUGUUUGCAGUAUCGCUUAUCAGGUGAAGACCUGAGACACGUGCAGGUGGGCAGUUCGGCUGGGGCGGCACCCCUUUGAAAAGAUAUCAAAGGGGCCCAAAGUUCAGCUCAAACGGGUCAGAAAUCCGUUGAAGAGGGCAAAGCCAAAAGCUGGAUUGACUGGAUCUCCAAACGCACGGGAUCCAGAGACGAAAGUCGGGCUUAGCGAUCCUUCGUGUGCCCACUAUUGGGGCCCGGAGGUGACAGAAAAAUUACCCCAGGGAUAACAGGCUCGUCGCGGGCGAGAGCUCCUAUCGACCCCGCGGUUUGGUACCUCGAUGUCGGCUUUUCCUAUCCUGGUCCUGCAGCAGGGGCCAAGGGUGAGGCUGCUCGCCUAUUAAAAGGGAACAUGAGCUGGGUUUAGACCGUCGUGAGACAGGUCGGUCUCUGCCUGAUGGAAGUGUGGUUAUUUGAGGGGAAGUUGCUCCGAGUACGAGAGGAACAGAGCAGCGUGGCCACUGGUUUACCGGUUGUCUGACAAGGCAGGCCGGGCAGCUAAGCCAUCUGGGCUAAGCGCUGAAAGCAUCUAAGCGCGAAACCCUUCCUGAAACAAAAUAACCUUUCU